CUGAGCUAAACCCCCAGCCCCUUCAAUAAAAUAUUGAGAUUCUCUUUCAGUCCUAAAAGAAGAAGAAAUCUGCAUGCCCUCUAAUCUGCCUAACACUUGCUGAAUUCUGAUUGCUUUGUUGAUGCCAGGAUAUAGAAUCAACUCCAGUGUCUCACAAGUAUAUGAAUGGAUAAAGAAAAUGUGGCAUAUGUACACAAUAAAAUAUUUUAGCAGGCUGGGAUGGUUGGAAGGAGUAUGUGGAGAGAUGGUAGAGUAAGUCUGUGGUGUCUGUGCCAAAAUAUUUUUGAAAAUUCUACAAGAAGACUUACAAAGUGAUAUGCAACAUAAGUCAACUGUAUUUGGUCAUUCCCCAACGUAUGUAUAUUGUUCUUUAAAAUGUAUUGUGUCU
Molecule: long non-coding RNA, 388 nt
Organism: Dipodomys ordii (Ord's kangaroo rat)
Lineage: Eukaryota; Metazoa; Chordata; Mammalia; Rodentia; Heteromyidae
Exons: 3
Source: RefSeq, a predicted model, not a curated record